This 507-nucleotide ribosomal RNA is filed under the name uncultured Blastocystis sp. Its description in RNAcentral is "SSU rRNA". It matches the Rfam family "Eukaryotic small subunit ribosomal RNA", at positions 508 to 1021 of the family's 1831-position model. The record is from RNAcentral. Lineage: Eukaryota; Bigyra; Opalinata; Blastocystidae.
AUUGGAUUGAGAACAACGUACAAACCUUAUCGAUAAACAAUUGGAGGGCAAGUCUGGUGCCAGCAGCCGCGGUAAUUCCAGCUCCAAUAGCGUAUAUUAACGUUGUUGCAGUUAAAAAGCUCGUAGUUGAAAUGAAGGGUAGUUGUGUAAUGAAUACAUUCGUGUAUUUUGUUAUUCUACUACCCUCCUUCUAAAUUCGAUAUAUGAGUAUUAAUUUACUUGUAUAUGGUUUUAGACCUUUACUGUGAGAAAAUUAGAGUGUUCAAAGCAGGCAUUUGCUUGAAUAUAUUAGCAUGGAAUAAUCAUGUAUGAUUUUCAUGAUGUAUUUGAUUGGUUUGGUUCAUGAGAAUAAGAUUAAAAGGGACAGUUGGGGGUAUUCAUAUUCAAUAGUCAGAGGUGAAAUUCUCGGAUUUAUGGAAGAUGAACAAGUGCGAAAGCAUUUACCAAGGAUGUUUUCAUUAAUCAAGAACGAAAGUUAGGGGAUCGAAGAGGAUUAGAUACCCUCGU